GGGACUGAUCGGUUUCUACAUAUUGAUUUAUAUAAACAAUUAUUUAAUGACUGGGUUUCUACUCUUAGAAUACCAAAUUUCAUGAAGUAGGCAUUUUACAUUUUUUAUUAAAUAAAGUAAUUGCAAAACACAAUAUAGUUGUUUUUUCUAAAAAAUACGCAUUAGCUUAGUAUGUUAGAAUUUUGGUUAAUAGUUUACACUAUAUUAUUCGAUAAAUCUUUGUGUUAGCUCUUUAUAGUUUUUAUGUUUUAAGUAAAGUAUUUAUAUAUCUUAAGAAUUAAAUAAAAAUAAUAUUUGGUUCGCAUACUUUCGUCAUUUAUUUGUUUUAUUGUUUAUACACAAUCAAUAUGGACGUGGGUUCAAUUCCCUCCAGUUCCA
RNAcentral lists this non-coding RNA (378 nucleotides) under Platysiphonia delicata. The record is from RNAcentral. Lineage: Eukaryota; Rhodophyta; Florideophyceae; Ceramiales; Delesseriaceae.